CUUGCUGUCGUCAGCUCGUGUCGUGAGAUGUUGGGUUAAGUCCCGCAACGAGCGCAACCCCUACCCUUAAUUGCCAUCGGGUUAUGCCGGGCACUUUAGGGGGACUGCCGGUGACAAGCCGGAGGAGGGUGGGGAUGACGUCAAGUCCUCAUGGCCUUUAUGACCAGGGCUACACACGUGUUACAAUGGGAGUUACAGAGGGAAGCUAAGCCGCGAGGCCAUGCCAAUCCCAGAAAAACUUUCUCAGUUCGGAUCGCAGUCUGCAACUCGACUGCGUGAAGCUGGAAUCGCUAGUAAUCGCGGAUCAGCACGCCGCGGUGAAUACGUUCCCGGGCCUUGUACACACCGCCCGUCACACCAUGGGAGCCGACAAGGGCAGAAGUCGCCGAGCUAACCUUCGGGAAGCAGGCGCCCAAGCUGUUGUUGACGACUGGGGUGAAGUCGUAACAAGGUAGCCGUAGGAGAACCUGCGGCUGGAUCACCUCCUUUCUAAGGACGCCGGAGAUGCUUUAUGCUUAUCUCCGGAUAGUCAAAGUCGAAACAGACUCUCUUCUCUUCUCUCCCUUUUCUCCUGUAAAUACUAGGUUAUGAAUUUAGAGCAACGAAGAAAUUGAAUUCGUUACUGUGGACUCCUAAUUUCAAGAGGGGCCUGUAGCUCAGCUUGGUUAGAGCGCAUCCCUGAUAAGGAUGAGGCCGGUGGUUCAAGUCCACCCAGGCCCACCAGCUCAUUUUUGAUUUAGAUAUGGAUUUGGAUUUAGCGGCUAUGAUGGUGGCAAAUCUGAGGUCUGGUAAUCCAAAUCAGAUAUUAAAGAUCGGGGGAUUAGCUCAGCUGGUAGAGCGCCUGCUUUGCAAGCAGGAGGUCAGCGGUUCGACCCCGCUAUCCUCCACCAAAUUAAUGAACAGUAAAAAAAGGUGGUGCAGCUUAAGCAGAAGAUAAGCUUCAGCAAUUAUUUAAUAAUUUCUGAAUUUUAUUUUUUAAUAUCUUAGACAAUUAAAUCGGAGGUUUUGGAGACACAAGAUCAAAUGUGAGGGUCUCCAAGGGUUGACGAUCUUGACUGUUAAAGUCAGGUAGUAAGGGCGCAGGGCGGAUGCCUUGGCUCUGGGAAGCGAAGAAGGACGUGGCCAGCUGCGAUAAGCCUCGGGGAAGAGCAAACAUCUUUUGAUCCGGGGAUUUCCGAAUGGGGAAACCCGG
This 1192-nucleotide small RNA is filed under the name uncultured bacterium. RNAcentral's name for it is "bacterial SSU rRNA". The stretch from base 1 to 489 matches the Rfam family "Bacterial small subunit ribosomal RNA", at positions 1045 to 1533 of the family's 1533-position model. The record is from RNAcentral.